GACGAACGCUGGCGGCGUGCCUAAUACAUGCAAGUCGAACGCAGUGGGGACUGGUGAGUAACACGUGGGUAACCUACCAUCAGAGGGGAUAACACUUGGAAACCGGUGCUAAACCGAUACUGAUGGAUGGACCCGCGGUGCAUUAGCUAGUUGGUGAGGUAACGGCUCACCAAGGCCACGAUGCAUAGCCGACCUGAGAGUGUGAGUGGCCACACUGGGACUGGUACACGGCCCAGACUCCUACGGGAGGCAGCAGUAGGGAAUCUUCGGCAAUGGGCGAAAGUCUGACCGAGCAACGCCGCGUGAGUGAAGAAGGUUUUCGGAUCGUAAAGCUCUGUUGUUAGAGAAGCGGUAUCUAACCAGAAAGCCACGGCUAACUACGUGCCAGCAGCCGCGGUAAUUC
Molecule: ribosomal RNA, 403 nt
Filed under: uncultured bacterium
Lineage: Bacteria
Description: partial 16S ribosomal RNA
Rfam family: Bacterial small subunit ribosomal RNA
Source: RNAcentral